This 200-nucleotide ribosomal RNA is filed under the name uncultured bacterium. Its description in RNAcentral is "partial 16S ribosomal RNA". It matches the Rfam family "Bacterial small subunit ribosomal RNA", at positions 30 to 229 of the family's 1533-position model. The record is from RNAcentral.
AUUGAACGCUGGCGGCAUGCCUUACACAUGCAAGUCGAAACGGCAGCACGGGAGCAAUCCUGGUGGCGAGUGGCGAACGGGUGAGUAAUACAUCGGAACGUGUCCUGUAGUGGGGGCUAGCCCGGCGAAAGCCGGAUUAAUACCGCAUACGAUCUGUGGAUGAAAGCGGGGGAUCUUCGGACCUCGCGCUACAGGGGCGC